This 88-nucleotide transfer RNA is filed under the name Catellatospora citrea. Its description in RNAcentral is "tRNA-Cys". The record is from RNAcentral. RNAcentral also lists the same sequence under 1 other name. Lineage: Bacteria; Bacillati; Actinomycetota; Actinomycetes; Micromonosporales; Micromonosporaceae.
GCGCGGCUGGUGGGCAUCGGCGCGCCGGGUUCGCCGCUGCAGUCGGUGGCCGAGCGCUACCGCGCCCCGUUCAUCCCGGUGCCGCGCC